Long non-coding RNA from Gadus morhua (Atlantic cod), 1016 nucleotides. RefSeq lists it as uncharacterized. The transcript is spliced from 2 exons. NCBI's taxonomy places the organism in Eukaryota, Metazoa, Chordata, Actinopteri, Gadiformes, Gadidae. The record is from RefSeq and is a predicted model, not a curated record.
UGUGUGGGUGUGUUGGUGUGGGUCUGGUGUGUUCUGUGGUUUGAUAUGUGUGUGUGGGUCUAUUGUGGUGAUGGUGGGUGUGUGGGGGUCUAUACUGAAGGCUGGGGGGUCUAUAACGGGAUGUAGGUGUGGGAGGUAGCGUGCGUCUGUUGUGUGCGUGGUAGUGUGGCUGUGUGGUGUUGGUGCGAUUGGUGUAGGUAGGCCUCCAGCUGACGGUGACGGUGGUGGUCCCGUGGUGGGUAGCCGGAGAGGGUGGUGGUCCCGUGGUGGGUAGAGGCGACGGCAGGACGGUCCCUGGUAACUGCUGACGGUGACACAGCCAACGGGCCAAUAGAAACACACUUCUAUUGGAAAGGAUGAAAAGUACAUCAGAGUAAAUAAAAGGGGGGAUCUGAGGACCCCGCCCGCACACACACGCAUAGAAGUAUAUAUAUAUAAAUAUAUAUAUAUAUAUAUAUAUAUAUAUAUAUAUAUAAACACAUGUGUUCUGUUACAUGUAUGUUUUCUCCUGUGUAAUUCAGUCUUCAGUGUAAUUCAGUCUAUUGAUGGUCCUGUGAUGCCAUCUACUGGGGAACUUUGGUAUUUUUCUGGAAUACGUUCUGAUAUGCAUUCCUUGCACUCCAUUACACUACAUUCACUUGAUCGGAAAGCAUGGUACUCACACUCGUCUUCAUAAUUGCGUCUCCUCUGGUUUCAAGUUGGCCUUUGUAAGCAUCGUUGUUUUACCCUACUUCACCUCACCAUAAAGAGUGAACUGCAACUUCUCGUCUGCGUGGUUUGAUGGAGAGGAGUUUAUACCAUCUGUCAACCCUGGCAAGGUGCUGGGGGUAGAGGGCAAAACAAGAGAGACACACACACACACACACACACACACACACACACACACACACACACACACACACACACACACACACACACACACACACACACACACACACACACACACGCAUCCAGACCCAUCCAUACACAUCCUCUCAUUAAUAGUGAAUCAUGCGCAUUUAUACAAAAUAUAGGAA